GUUUUUCGCUUUGAGAUGAGCCCAUACGGGAUUAGCUAGUUGGUGAGGUAAUGGCUCACCAAGGCUACGAUCCCUAACUGGUCUUAGAGGAUGAUCAGUCACACUGGAACUGAGACACGGUCCAGACUCCUACGGGAGGCAGCAGUAGGGAAUAUUGCACAAUGGGGGAAACCCUGAUGCAGCGACGCCGCGUGAGUGAUGAAGGCCUUCGGGUCGUAAAGCUCUGUCGUAUGGGACUAACACAAUG
RNAcentral lists this ribosomal RNA (247 nucleotides) under uncultured Bdellovibrio sp. RNAcentral's name for it is "partial 16S ribosomal RNA". It matches the Rfam family "Bacterial small subunit ribosomal RNA", at positions 210 to 456 of the family's 1533-position model. Lineage: Bacteria; Pseudomonadati; Bdellovibrionota; Bdellovibrionia; Bdellovibrionales; Pseudobdellovibrionaceae. The record is from RNAcentral.